AGGAAGUGCGGCGUGCUAUACAUGCAGUCGAACGCUUGCUUUCAUCCCGAGUGCUUGCACUCAAUUGGAAAGAGGAGUGGCGGACGGGUGAGUAACACGUGGGUAACCUACCCAUCAGAGGGGGAUAACACUUGGAAACAGGUGCUAAUACCGCAUAACAGUUUAUGCCGCAUGGCAUAAGAGUGAAAGGCGCUUUCGGGUGUCGCUGAUGGAUGGACCCGCGGUGCAUUAGCUAGUUGGUGAGGUAACGGCUCACCAAGGCCACGAUGCAUAGCCGACCUGAGAGGGUGAUCGGCCACACUGGGACUGAGACACGGCCCAGACUCCUACGGGAGGCAGCAGUAGGGAAUCUUCGGCAAUGGACGAAAGUCUGACCGAGCAACGCCGCGUGAGUGAAGAAGGUUUUCGGAUCGUAAAACUCUGUUGUUAGAGAAGAACAAGGACGUUAGUAACUGAACGUCCCCUGACGGUAUCUAACCAGAAAGCCACGGCUAACUACGUGCCAGCAGCCGCGGUAAUACGUAGGUGGCAAGCGUUGUCCGGAUUUAUUGGGCGUAAAGCGAGCGCAGGCGGUUUCUUAAGUCUGAUGUGAAAGCCCCCGGCUCAACCGGGGAGGGUCAUUGGAAACUGGGAGACUUGAGUGCAGAAGAGGAGAGUGGAAUUCCAUGUGUAGCGGUGAAAUGCGUAGAUAUAUGGGAGGAAACACCAGUGGCGAAAGGCGGCUCUCUGGUCUGUAACUGACGCUGAGGCUCGAAAGCGUGGGGAGCAAACAGGAUUAGAUACCCUGGUAGUCCACGCCGUAACGAUGAGUGCUAAGUGUUGGAGGGUUUCCGCCCUUCAGUGCUGCAGCAACGCAUUAAGCACUCCGCCUGGGGAGUACGACCGCAAGGUUGAACUCAAGGAAUUGACGGGGCCCGCACAGCGUGGAGCAUGUGGUUUAUUCGAGCACGCGAGGACUUAACAGGUCUUGACAUCUUGACACUCUAGAGAUGAGCUUCCUUCGGACACUGACAGUGGUGCAUGGUGUCGUCAGCUCAGUCUGAAUGUUGGGUUAGUCCGCACGACGCAUCGUAUGUAGUGCCAUCAUAGUGGCAUCUAUGACUGCCGUGCCAUCGAGAGUGGAUGACGUCA
This 1131-nucleotide ribosomal RNA is filed under the name Enterococcus faecalis. RNAcentral describes it as "bacterial SSU rRNA". It matches the Rfam family "Bacterial small subunit ribosomal RNA", at positions 29 to 1187 of the family's 1533-position model. The record is from RNAcentral. Lineage: Bacteria; Bacillati; Bacillota; Bacilli; Lactobacillales; Enterococcaceae.